UAGGGAAUCUUCGGCAAUGGACGAAAGUCUGACCGAGCAACGCCGCGUGAGUGAAGAAGGUUUUCGGAUCGUAAAACUCUGUUGGUAGAGAAGAACGUUGGUGAGAGUGGAAAGCUCAUCAAGUGACGGUAACUACCCAGAAAGGGCGGCUAACUACGUACCAG
Molecule: ribosomal RNA, 164 nt
Filed under: uncultured bacterium
Lineage: Bacteria
Description: partial 16S rRNA
Rfam family: Bacterial small subunit ribosomal RNA
Source: RNAcentral